Molecule: long non-coding RNA, 278 nt
Filed under: Oryza brachyantha (malo sina)
Lineage: Eukaryota; Viridiplantae; Streptophyta; Magnoliopsida; Poales; Poaceae
Description: long non-coding RNA (OBRA_LNC001057)
Source: RNAcentral
CGUCCCUGAGCGUCGCCAGCAAGUGAGGCCGUGAGGUGCCCGGGCUAACUAUUCUCAUUCUUAGCACGAAUGCCCUCCACGUGGUCCAAGCAUCUCUACGAGGUCAUGGUCCACACCGAUUUAGCCAUCUUGAGAGGGCAUGGUCAUCACCAAUCUUGCCAUCCAUGUCCACUGUGAUGGACUGGAUCCUUGCGCCAAGCACAAUCUACGCCCCUGAGUGUCGCCAGCAAGUGAGGAGGUGAGAUGCCGGGGCUAACAAUCAUCGCAUCUAGCCACUC